RNAcentral lists this unclassified non-coding RNA (751 nucleotides) under leaf metagenome. RNAcentral's name for it is "partial contains small subunit ribosomal RNA, internal transcribed spacer 1, 5.8S ribosomal RNA, internal transcribed spacer 2, and large subunit ribosomal RNA". The stretch from base 409 to 562 matches the Rfam family "5.8S ribosomal RNA". The record is from RNAcentral.
CCCCCUCGGGGUGCGGCCCACGACUCUAAACAAUGGGGCGGCAUGAAAUCGCAAGUCGGCCUGGCCGGCGACACCCCCAAAGUGCGGGGACCCCCCCCGGUGUGCAUCCAGGGGCGAUCCGCAGCCGGCGGCACGAGCCGCCGGUCCACAGACUAGGUGGGGGUGGGUGGGGCCUCGAGGCCCCGCCUGAAAGAUAGUCGGGCCCCCCUCGCGCAGGGGGGUGUCCACCGUUCCGUAGGUGAACCUGCGGAAGGAUCAUUACCGAGCGAGGGCUCCGGUCCGACCUCCCAGCCCUUGUCUACCCACGCGCGUUGCUUCGGCGGCCGCGGGCCCCCACGGGCACGCCCGCCAGAGGACCGUCUCGAAACGCUAUAAUCAUGGGGCUCUGAGUGAUUGACCCAACACUAAAACUUUCAACAACGGAUCUCUUGGCUCUGGUGUCGAUGAAGAACGCAGCGAAAUGCGAUAAGUAGUACGAAUUGCAGAAUUCAGCGAAUGAUCGAAUCUUUGAACGCACAUUGCGCCCCCUGGCAUCCCGGGGGGCACGCCUGUCCGAGCGUCAUUGCGCCCCUCAAGCCUGGCUUGGUAUCUGGGCCGCGCCCCUCGCGGGGCGGGCCUCAAACCCCUGGGCGGUGCCGCCCCCGCCCGGCGUGACCAGGAGCACCCCUCCACACGCCGGCGCGGGCGGUGCCCGCCGCGAAUGACCCUCCAGUUUGACCUCGGAUCAGGCGGGGAUACCCGCUGAACUUAA